This 501-nucleotide ribosomal RNA is filed under the name uncultured bacterium. RNAcentral describes it as "partial 16S ribosomal RNA". It matches the Rfam family "Bacterial small subunit ribosomal RNA", at positions 29 to 523 of the family's 1533-position model. The record is from RNAcentral.
AUUGAACGCUGGCGGCAUGCCUUACACAUGCAAGUCGAACGGCAGCACGGGUGCUUGCACCUGGUGGCGAGUGGCGAACGGGUGAGUAAUACAUCGGAACGUACCUUAUCGUGGGGGAUAACGCAGCGAAAGCUGUGCUAAUACCGCCUAAGCCCUAAGGGGGAAAGCAGGGGACCGUAAGGCCUUGCGCGCCUAGAGCGGCCGAUACCUGAUUAGCUAGUUGGGGGGGGAAGGGCUCACCAAGGCAACGAUCAGUAGCUGGUCUGAGAGGACGAUCAGCCACACUGGGACUGAGACACGGCCCAGACUCCUACGGGAGGCAGCAGUGGGGAAUUUUGGACAAUGGGGGCAACCCUGAUCCAGCAAUGCCGCGUGAGUGAAGAAGGCCUUCGGGUUGUAAAGCUCUUUUGUCAGGGAAGAAACAGCAGCUCUAAUACAGUAUGCGAAUGACGGUACCUGAAGAAUAAGCACCGGCUAACUACGUGCCAGCAGCCGCCGUAA